GGGGUUGUGGCUCAGUGGUAGAGCGCUUGCCUCGAAAGUGAGAGACUCUGGGUUCGAUCCUCAGCAGCACAA
Molecule: non-coding RNA, 72 nt
Organism: Ictidomys tridecemlineatus (thirteen-lined ground squirrel)
Lineage: Eukaryota; Metazoa; Chordata; Mammalia; Rodentia; Sciuridae
Source: Rfam